Non-coding RNA from Rattus norvegicus (Norway rat), 1622 nucleotides. The record is from RefSeq and is a predicted model, not a curated record. NCBI's taxonomy places the organism in Eukaryota, Metazoa, Chordata, Mammalia, Rodentia, Muridae.
CUAGCACUACUGGAGAAGCCCCGCCUCCCGCCUAGAUCAAGCUGACAGCAACCUAGGGGCUGCUUGAGAUGUACAAGCUACUCUUUUUUUUUUUUCUUGGUUCUUUUUUUCGGAGCUGGGGACCGAACCCAGAGCCUUGCGCUUCCUAGGCAAGUGCUCUACCACUGAGCUAAAUCCCCAACCCCGUACAAGCUACUCUUAAAGGGGCACCAGCAGCCUCUCAGCUUCUCUAGUAAGUAAGCCGAUGGCCAGUUGUGCUACAAAACCUCUGUGUCCAUGAGAAUCAGAUUCAGCAGGUAGCAAGGUGGUCCUCCCUUGAAAUUUCAACUAAAAGAGACAAAGAAAGCCUCUUGAUCUUCUGGGCCUGAUAGCCAAAGAUUGCCUCUGCCCUGCCCUUGAAGGUGUGGAAGAAGCUGGGACAACUGUCUAGAUCUUCGCCUGGCUGACGGACUCCAUCCAGGAUCACCUGUGGACUGCAAGCGCCUGAGCUCUGACUUGCCGUAGGCCAAUGUAAACUGGUCCAGCCGAGAUGAUUGCUCCCUGAUUUUCAGCUGAAUCAACUAAUCAGAUGCUUCUGAUAAAUGCCCCAUUGCCCAGCCUUCCUGGACCCCAGUGAACAACGUCCUAAUGUCAGCUGUAAGUACUUACAGAAGAGACUGUGUUGUCCAUUGUUUCUCCUAUCAGGCUGAAGUGCUAAGUCAAAAGAGAAACUCUCUGGCUCAGAGGAAACCCUUGAGUUAAUUCAAGGUGUGUACAUGUUGAGCCUGCACCCCCCACCCAGUAUAGCUGUAGCCAUUUUGGUCCGUGCCUGCCAGUCAUUGGCAAAGAAAAAUAGCUUGACUCAGAAGAGGGUCGUGCUGACCACAUACCCUGUUAUGUUCUGUAUGUCUGAAAGUGUUAAUCUUAAGAAUUCCCACAACCGUAAGCUCCACUUAGGACCAAUCAGUAUAAAGUUCAGUUAGAACUGUCCACUCCAACUAGCAAGAUAGCUUUUGUCAUGGCCAACCACCCUGCCAUGCUAUGUUAAUCUCAUUGUGGUUUUUGACUUUAUAAGCUGGCCCUGAGAAAUGUUUGAGGUCAUAGCUUUCAGCUCCUGAAUCUGAGCUACAGCCCUGAUGGAUCAGUCUGUGGUGUGCAUUCAAUAAACCAGCCCUGUUUACCUGAGACUAGUAUCUGAGUGGUUUGUUUGUUGUAUUUUGCCAGUUAAUUGAUAUUUAUUUUUGCCCAGAUGAUUUAUGUAUAGAAACAAGGAUAAUGAAAUAAUUUACUUUUUUUUUUUUGAGACAGAGUUUCUCUUUGUAGUCUUGGCUGCCCUGGAACUAGCUCUGUAGAAUGGGCUGGCCUUGAACUCACAGAGAUCUGCCUGCUUCUGCCUACCAAGUACUGGGAUAAAAAGCACGUGCCACUACCACCUAGCUGAAGUAGUCUACUCUUAAUGGGUUGAUGUUAGUCUUCAUCUUUAAUUCCAGUAGUACACAUUUAAUGUAAUCAGGUGUACCAGAGUUUUAUACAUACGUGUUUAUGAUAGUAAUAUCUUCUUGGGUAACUAUUCCUUUGAUUAGAAUGAAUUGUUCUUCUUUAUCUCUUCUGAUAAAUUGUACCCAAAUGCCAGCAGCACACAG